UACGUAGGGGGCAAGCGUUGUCCGGAAUCAUUGGGCGUAAAGAGCGUGUAGGCGGCUCGAUAAGUCCGCUCUGAAAGCCCGGGGCUCAACCCCGGGAGGCGGGCGGAUACUGUCGAGCUAGAGUCCGGAAGAGGCGAGUGGAAUUCCUGGUGUAGCGGUGAAAUGCGCAGAUAUCAGGAGGAACACCAAUGGCGAAGGCAGCCUUCUGGGCCAACACUGACGCUCAUGCACGAAAGCGUGGGGAGCAAACAGG
Molecule: ribosomal RNA, 253 nt
Filed under: uncultured bacterium
Lineage: Bacteria
Description: partial 16S ribosomal RNA
Rfam family: Bacterial small subunit ribosomal RNA
Source: RNAcentral